Molecule: ribosomal RNA, 497 nt
Filed under: uncultured bacterium
Lineage: Bacteria
Description: partial 16S ribosomal RNA
Rfam family: Bacterial small subunit ribosomal RNA
Source: RNAcentral
GAUGAACGCUGGCGGCGUGCCUAAUACAUGCAAGUCGAGCGAACGGACGAGAAGCUUGCUUUUCUGAUGUUAGCGGCGGACGGGUGAGUAUCACGUGGAUAACCUACCUAUAAGACUGGGAUAACUUCGGGAAACCGGAGCUAAUACCGGAUAAUAUUUUGAACCGCAUGGUUCAAAAGUGAAAGACGGUCUUGCUGUCACUUAUAGAUGGAUCCGCGCUGCAUUAGCUAGUUGGUAAGGUAACGGCUUACCAAGGCAACGAUGCAUAGCCGACCUGAGAGGGUGAUCGGCCACACUAGAACUGAGACACGGUCCAGACUCCUACGGGAGGCAGCAGUAGGGAAUCUUCCGCAAUGGGCGAAAGCCUGACGGAGCAACGCCGCGUGAGUGAUGAAGGUCUUCGGAUCGUAAAACUCUGUUAUUAGGGAAGAACAUAUGUGUAAGUAACUGUGCACAUCUUGACGGUACCUAAUCAGAAAGCCACGGCUAACUACGUG